AUACGUAGGGUGCAAGCGUUAAUCGGAAUUACUGGGCGUAAAGCGUGCGCAGGCGGCUUUGUAAGACAGUGGUGAAAUCCCCGGGCUCAACCUGGGAACUGCCAUUGUGACUGCAAGGCUGGAGGGCGGCAGAGGGGGAUGGAAUUCCGCGUGUAGCAGUGACAUGCGUAGAUAUGCGGAGGAACACCGAUGGCGAAGGCAAUCCCCUGGGCCUGCACUGACGCUCAUGCACGAAAGCGUGGGGAGCAAACAGGAUUAGAUACCCUGGUAGUCCACGCCCUAAACGAUGUCAACUGGUUGUUGGGGAUUUAUUUUCUCAGUAACGAAGCUAACGCGUGAAGUUGACCGCCUGGGGAGUACGGCCGCAAGGUUAAAACUCAAAUGAAUUGGCGGGG
RNAcentral lists this ribosomal RNA (395 nucleotides) under uncultured bacterium. RNAcentral's name for it is "partial 16S ribosomal RNA". It matches the Rfam family "Bacterial small subunit ribosomal RNA", at positions 523 to 918 of the family's 1533-position model. The record is from RNAcentral.